CCUACGGGAGGCAGCAGUAGGGAAUCUUCCACAAUGGGCGAAAGCCUGACGGAGCAACGCCGCGUGGGUGAUGAAGGUCUUCGGAUCGUAAAACUCUGUUGUUAGAGAAGAAAGUGCGUGAGAGUAACUGUUCACGUCUUGACGGUAUCUAAUCAGAAAGCCACGGCUAACUACGUGCCAGCAGCCGCGGUAAUACGUAGGUGGCAAGCGUUAUCCGGAUUUAUUGGGCGUAAAGGGGACGUAGGCGGUUUUUUAAGUCUGAUGUGAAAGCCCUCGGCUUAACCGGAGUAGUGCAUUGGAAACUGUGAGACUUGAGUGCAGAAGAGGAGAGUGGAACUCCAUGUGUAGCGGUGAAAUGCGUAGAUAUAUGGAAGAACACCAGUGGCGAAGGCGACUCUCUGGUCUGUAACUGACGCUGAGGUGCGAAAGCGUGGGGAUCAAACAGGAUUAGAUACCCCAGUAGUC
This 465-nucleotide ribosomal RNA is filed under the name uncultured bacterium. RNAcentral describes it as "partial 16S ribosomal RNA". It matches the Rfam family "Bacterial small subunit ribosomal RNA", at positions 338 to 795 of the family's 1533-position model. The record is from RNAcentral.